RNAcentral lists this ribosomal RNA (497 nucleotides) under uncultured bacterium. Its description in RNAcentral is "partial 16S ribosomal RNA". It matches the Rfam family "Bacterial small subunit ribosomal RNA", at positions 28 to 507 of the family's 1533-position model. The record is from RNAcentral.
GAUGAACGCUGGCGGCGUGCCUAAUACAUGCAAGUCGAGCGAACGGACGAGAAGCUUGCUUCUCUGAUGUUAGCGGCGGACGGGUGAGUAACACGUGGAUAACCUACCUAUAAGACUGGGAUAACUUCGGGAAACCGGAGCUAAUACCGGAUAAUAUUUUGAACCGCAUUGUUCAAAAGUGAAAGACGGUCUUUCUGUCACUUAUCGAGGGAUCCGCGCUGCAUUAGCUAGUUGGUAAGGUAACGGCUUACCAAGGCAACGAUGCAUAGCCGACCUGAGAGGGUGAUCGGCCACACUGGAGCUGAGACACGGUCCAGACUCCUACGGGAGGCAGCAGUAGGGAAUCUGACGCAAUAGGCGAGAGCCUGACGGAGCGACGCGGCGUGAGUGAUGAAGGUCUUCGGAUCGUAAAACUCUGUUAUUAGGGAAGAACAUAUGUGUACGUAAAUGUGCAGAUCUUGACGGUAACUAAUCAGAAAGCCACGGCUAACUACGUG